Molecule: ribosomal RNA, 253 nt
Filed under: uncultured bacterium
Lineage: Bacteria
Description: partial 16S ribosomal RNA
Rfam family: Bacterial small subunit ribosomal RNA
Source: RNAcentral
UACGGGGGGGGCAAGCGUUGUUCGGAAUUACUGGGCGUAAAGGGCGCGUAGGCGGCUUUGCAAGUCAGAUGUGAAAGCCCCGGGCUUAACUCGGGAACUGCAUCUGAGACUGCUUAGCUUGAGUCCUGGAGGGGGUAGUGGAAUUCCCAGUGUAGCGGUGAAAUGCGUAGAUAUUGGGAGGAACACCUGCGGCGAAGGCGGCUACCUGGACAGUGACUGACGCUGAGGCGCGAAAGCUAGGGGAGCGAACGGG